Molecule: ribosomal RNA, 460 nt
Filed under: uncultured bacterium
Lineage: Bacteria
Description: partial 16S ribosomal RNA
Rfam family: Bacterial small subunit ribosomal RNA
Source: RNAcentral
CCUACGGGCGGCAGCAGUGAGGAAUAUUGGUCAAUGGACGAGAGUCUGAACCAGCCAAGUAGCGUGAAGGAUGACUGCCCUAUGGGUUGUAAACUUCUUUUAUAUGGGAAUAAAAUGUUCCACGUGUGGGCUUUUGUAUGUACCAUAUGAAUAAGGAUCGGCUAACUCCGUGCCAGCAGCCGCGGUAAUACGGAGGAUCCGAGCGUUAUCCGGAUUUAUUGGGUUUAAAGGGAGCGUAGGUGGAUUGUUAAGUCAGUUGUGAAAGUUUGCGGCUCAACCGUAAAAUUGCAGUUGAAACUGGCAGUCUUGAGUACAGUAGAGGUGGGCGGAAUUCGUGGUGUAGCGGUGAAAUGCUUAGAUAUCACGAAGAACUCCGAUUGCGAAGGCAGCUUACUGGACUGCAACUGACACUGAGGCUCGAAAGUGUGGGUAUCAAACAGGAUUAGAUACCCCUGUAGUC